This 2549-nucleotide ribosomal RNA is filed under the name Escherichia coli. RNAcentral's name for it is "bacterial LSU rRNA". It matches the Rfam family "Bacterial large subunit ribosomal RNA", at positions 398 to 2925 of the family's 2925-position model. Lineage: Bacteria; Pseudomonadati; Pseudomonadota; Gammaproteobacteria; Enterobacterales; Enterobacteriaceae. The record is from RNAcentral.
UGUGAGCUCGAUGAGUAGGGCGGGACACGUGGUAUCCUGUCUGAAUAUGGGGGGACCAUCCUCCAAGGCUAAAUACUCCUGACUGACCGAUAGUGAACCAGUACCGUGAGGGAAAGGCGAAAAGAACCCCGGCGAGGGGAGUGAAAAAGAACCUGAAACCGUGUACGUACAAGCAGUGGGAGCACAGAGCAAUCUGUGUGACUGCGUACCUUUUGUAUAAUGGGUCAGCGACUUAUAUUCUGUAGCAAGGUUAACCGAAUAGGGGAGCCGAAGGGAAACCGAGUCUUAACUGGGCGUUAAGUUGCAGGGUAUAGACCCGAAACCCGGUGAUCUAGCCAUGGGCAGGUUGAAGGUUGGGUAACACUAACUGGAGGACCGAACCGACUAAUGUUGAAAAAUUAGCGGAUGACUUGUGGCUGGGGGUGAAAGGCCAAUCAAACCGGGAGAUAGCUGGUUCUCCCCGAAAGCUAUUUAGGUAGCGCCUCGUGAAUUCAUCUCCGGGGGUAGAGCACUGUUUCGGCAAGGGGGUCAUCCCGACUUACCAACCCGAUGCAAACUGCGAAUACCGGAGAAUGUUAUCACGGGAGACACACGGCGGGUGCUAACGUCCGUCGUGAAGAGGGAAACAACCCAGACCGCCAGCUAAGGUCCCAAAGUCAUGGUUAAGUGGGAAACGAUGUGGGAAGGCCCAGACAGCCAGGAUGUUGGCUUAGAAGCAGCCAUCAUUUAAAGAAAGCGUAAUAGCUCACUGGUCGAGUCGGCCUGCGCGGAAGAUGUAACGGGGCUAAACCAUGCACCGAAGCUGCGGCAGCGACGCUUAUGCGUUGUUGGGUAGGGGAGCGUUCUGUAAGCCUGCGAAGGUGUGCUGUGAGGCAUGCUGGAGGUAUCAGAAGUGCGAAUGCUGACAUAAGUAACGAUAAAGCGGGUGAAAAGCCCGCUCGCCGGAAGACCAAGGGUUCCUGUCCAACGUUAAUCGGGGCAGGGUGAGUCGACCCCUAAGGCGAGGCCGAAAGGCGUAGUCGAUGGGAAACAGGUUAAUAUUCCUGUACUUGGUGUUACUGCGAAGGGGGGACGGAGAAGGCUAUGUUGGCCGGGCGACGGUUGUCCCGGUUUAAGCGUGUAGGCUGGUUUUCCAGGCAAAUCCGGAAAAUCAAGGCUGAGGCGUGAUGACGAGGCACUACGGUGCUGAAGCAACAAAUGCCCUGCUUCCAGGAAAAGCCUCUAAGCAUCAGGUAACAUCAAAUCGUACCCCAAACCGACACAGGUGGUCAGGUAGAGAAUACCAAGGCGCUUGAGAGAACUCGGGUGAAGGAACUAGGCAAAAUGGUGCCGUAACUUCGGGAGAAGGCACGCUGAUAUGUAGGUGAAGUCCCUCGCGGAUGGAGCUGAAAUCAGUCGAAGAUACCAGCUGGCUGCAACUGUUUAUUAAAAACACAGCACUGUGCAAACACGAAAGUGGACGUAUACGGUGUGACGCCUGCCCGGUGCCGGAAGGUUAAUUGAUGGGGUUAGCGCAAGCGAAGCUCUUGAUCGAAGCCCCGGUAAACGGCGGCCGUAACUAUAACGGUCCUAAGGUAGCGAAAUUCCUUGUCGGGUAAGUUCCGACCUGCACGAAUGGCGUAAUGAUGGCCAGGCUGUCUCCACCCGAGACUCAGUGAAAUUGAACUCGCUGUGAAGAUGCAGUGUACCCGCGGCAAGACGGAAAGACCCCGUGAACCUUUACUAUAGCUUGACACUGAACAUUGAGCCUUGAUGUGUAGGAUAGGUGGGAGGCUUUGAAGUGUGGACGCCAGUCUGCAUGGAGCCGACCUUGAAAUACCACCCUUUAAUGUUUGAUGUUCUAACGUUGACCCGUAAUCCGGGUUGCGGACAGUGUCUGGUGGGUAGUUUGACUGGGGCGGUCUCCUCCUAAAGAGUAACGGAGGAGCACGAAGGUUGGCUAAUCCUGGUCGGACAUCAGGAGGUUAGUGCAAUGGCAUAAGCCAGCUUGACUGCGAGCGUGACGGCGCGAGCAGGUGCGAAAGCAGGUCAUAGUGAUCCGGUGGUUCUGAAUGGAAGGGCCAUCGCUCAACGGAUAAAAGGUACUCCGGGGAUAACAGGCUGAUACCGCCCAAGAGUUCAUAUCGACGGCGGUGUUUGGCACCUCGAUGUCGGCUCAUCACAUCCUGGGGCUGAAGUAGGUCCCAAGGGUAUGGCUGUUCGCCAUUUAAAGUGGUACGCGAGCUGGGUUUAGAACGUCGUGAGACAGUUCGGUCCCUAUCUGCCGUGGGCGCUGGAGAACUGAGGGGGGCUGCUCCUAGUACGAGAGGACCGGAGUGGACGCAUCACUGGUGUUCGGGUUGUCAUGCCAAUGGCACUGCCCGGUAGCUAAAUGCGGAAGAGAUAAGUGCUGAAAGCAUCUAAGCACGAAACUUGCCCCGAGAUGAGUUCUCCCUGACUCCUUGAGAGUCCUGAAGGAACGUUGAAGACGACGACGUUGAUAGGCCGGGUGUGUAAGCGCAGCGAUGCGUUGAGCUAACCGGUACUAAUGAACCGUGAGGCUUAACCUU